RNAcentral lists this ribosomal RNA (254 nucleotides) under uncultured bacterium. RNAcentral's name for it is "partial 16S ribosomal RNA". It matches the Rfam family "Bacterial small subunit ribosomal RNA", at positions 524 to 776 of the family's 1533-position model. The record is from RNAcentral.
UACGAAGGGGGCUAGCGUUGCUCGGAAUUACUGGGCGUAAAGCGCACGUAGGCGGCUUUCUAAGUCGGGGGGUGAAAUCCUGGAGCUCAACUCCAGAACUGCCUUCGAUACUGGAGAGCUUGAGUCCGGGAGAGGUGAGUGGAACUGCGAGUGUAGAGGUGAAAUUCGUAGAUAUUCGCAAGAACACCGGUGGCGAAGGCGGCGAACUGGUCGAAUAUUGACACUCAUACACGAAAGCGUGGGGAUCAAACAGG